Non-coding RNA from Ictidomys tridecemlineatus (thirteen-lined ground squirrel), 72 nucleotides. The record is from Rfam. NCBI's taxonomy places the organism in Eukaryota, Metazoa, Chordata, Mammalia, Rodentia, Sciuridae.
GGUGCUGAAGCUCAGUGGCAGAGCACAUGCUUAACAUGCAGGAAGCCCUGAGUUCAAUCCCCAGAACCCCCC